Molecule: long non-coding RNA, 555 nt
Filed under: Ursus maritimus (polar bear)
Lineage: Eukaryota; Metazoa; Chordata; Mammalia; Carnivora; Ursidae
Description: lncRNA (ENSUMAG00000009317.1)
Source: RNAcentral
CCGGGAGACCCGCGCCCCCGUCGGGGUGGCUGCGCCCACCCGGCUCCACUCGUCGUCACCCGGCACCCUUCCCCUUCAGUCACCUGGGUUUUGAGAGAAUACCUCAAGCUGGACUCAGAAGCAAGAUUCACUACUCACUUUGAAGUGGAAGAAGUAGUGUUAGCAAUGCCUCUGUGGCUGUCCUUGAACUUGAGAGUGUACACGUUUAUAUGGAGGGAUUUCCGGGUUAAAGGACGUGGAUCUUCCUAUCUGUGGUAAGUAUUGCCAAACUGCCCUCCAUAGGCAUUGUCCAGGUUUACCCUCCCAUCGGCCGUGUAUGCCUUUCUCCUCCUUUCUGCCAGUGGUGUGUGAUUAAACCUUUUAAUCCUUGCCAAUUUCAUAGCUGGAAAAGGGAGUCUUUCUGUUGUUUUCUUUUGCAUUUCUCAUUAUAAAUGAGGUUGUGUGUACUGUCGUGUGUUUAAGAGCAGUUUUUCUUUCUGUGUAUUAAUUGACUUUUGUGAUCCUUUGUCCAUUUAUCUGAGAUAAGCUCUUUAAAUAAAAAGAGAAGUUAUCCCA